RNAcentral lists this ribosomal RNA (689 nucleotides) under Kluyveromyces marxianus. RNAcentral's name for it is "LSU rRNA". It matches the Rfam family "Eukaryotic large subunit ribosomal RNA", at positions 63 to 797 of the family's 3401-position model. The record is from RNAcentral. Lineage: Eukaryota; Fungi; Ascomycota; Saccharomycetes; Saccharomycetales; Saccharomycetaceae.
AACCAACCGUGAUUGCUUAGUAACGGCGAGUGAAGCGGCAAAAGCUCAAAUUUGAAAUCUGGCGUCUUCGACGUCCGAGUUGUAAUUUGAAGAAGGCGACUUUGUAGCUGGUCCUUGUCUAUGUUCCUUGGAACAGGACGUCAUAGAGGGUGAGAAUCCCGUGUGGCGAGGAUCCCAGUUAUUUGUAAAGUGCUUUCGACGAGUCGAGUUGUUUGGGAAUGCAGCUCUAAGUGGGUGGUAAAUUCCAUCUAAAGCUAAAUAUUGGCGAGAGACCGAUAGCGAACAAGUACAGUGAUGGAAAGAUGAAAAGAACUUUGAAAAGAGAGUGAAAAAGUACGUGAAAUUGUUGAAAGGGAAGGGCAUUUGAUCAGACAUGGCGUUUGCUUCGGCUUUCGCUGGGCCAGCAUCAGUUUUAGCGGUUGGAUAAAUCCUCGGGAAUGUGGCUCUGCUUCGGUAGAGUGUUAUAGCCCGUGGGAAUACAGCCAGCUGGGACUGAGGAUUGCGACUUUUGUCAAGGAUGCUGGCGUAAUGGUUAAAUGCCGCCCGUCUUGAAACACGGACCAAGGAGUCUAACGUCUAUGCGAGUGUUUGGGUGUAAAACCCGUACGCGUAAUGAAAGUGAACGUAGGUGAGGGCCCGCAAGGGUGCAUCAUCGACCGAUCCUGAUGUCUUCGGAUGGAUUUGAGUAA